AAAAGAAGAGGAGAACAUUAAGAUCUAAUUUGUAUUUUUUAAAAUAAUUUUGUAGGUGUAUACCCAAAUAUUUGCUUGUUAGGGGCAUUGCAAUUACUGAAAAUUCAAAAACUAGUGUCCUAGUGGGUUUUUUUUCUGCGACGUUUUAUGGGGAAAUCGCUUCCUUCACCAAAUAGAAUUCAAGAUUUUGCCAGAAUAAUCAACUCCAACAGAAUCCACCACCCGACCCAAGUCAAACCCGCAACCAGAAUUAGGUCAGUUCCAUCACCUGUCGCCGCAAAGUCUAGGGCGGUGGUCGACGGCGAUUCAUCGGAGCGGCGGCUGAAGCUGAAGAAGAAUAUGGAAGAAGCAAGCUCUAACUCCAAUUCCAAUUCCAAUACUUCUUCGUCAAACCAGCGGCGGCUACCCCUUGCUGACGUGGUGGCUGACUGUGUCAAGCGGUGGUUCCACGAUACUCUCAAGGAGGCGAAAGCUGGUGACGCUAACAUGCAAGUCCUUGUUGGUCAGAUGUAUUUUAGUGGCUAUGGUAUAGCCAGAGAUGCACAAAAGGGAAGAGCUUGGAUUACCCGAGCUUCAAAGAGUCGGUCAUCGGCAUGGAAAGUGAGUGAUAAACGCCCAGGCUAUAAUGCCAGUGAUUCUGAUUCUGAUGAUACUGUGGAGGACGCAAAGCAAAAUUGAAGCUCUUUUCAUGGGUUAAACAAGCUGUGGCAUUAUCCUUUGUUUCUUCAGGAUUGCUCCUACAUGAAGAGGCCUAUUUGGAAUUUGAGAUGCAGUCACAAAAUCAAUUUGAUGUUCUAUUCCUCUUAAAGUGUAUUUUUGUGCUAUCCAUAUGCGAGCCGUCAGUACCUUGCAGUUUGGUAACAGACAUUCAACUGGACCUGCUGUUCUGAUCUCCAUGAUAUCUUUUUUUUUAUUCACUUGAAGUACUCCAUGUCCAUAGUUCUGACUGGACUGUUAGCAAAUAACAUUAUUUUUAAUUAGUUUUGGUUUUCGUUGUGUCAUUGGUGGUUUGAUCUUGUAAUUCUGGUUUAACUGGGAAGAAAACUGAAAAAGGUGAUUAUUCUUUGUUUA
Molecule: RNA transcript, 1071 nt
Organism: Solanum lycopersicum (tomato)
Lineage: Eukaryota; Viridiplantae; Streptophyta; Magnoliopsida; Solanales; Solanaceae
Source: RefSeq, a predicted model, not a curated record